CAAUAGCGUAUAUUAAAGUUGUUGCGGUUAAAAAGCUCGUAGUUGGAUUUCUGCCGAGGACGACCGGUCCGCCCUCUGGGUGAGCAUCUGGCUCGGCCUGGGCAUCUUCUUGGAGAACGUAUCUGCACUUGACUGUGUGGUGCGGUAUUCAGGACUUUUACUUUGAGGAAAUUAGAGUGUUUAAAGCAGGCAAUUGUCUUUGAAUAGAUUAGCAUGGAAUAAUAAUUUAGGACUUCGGUUCUAUUUUGUUGGUUUCUAGUACUGAAGUAAUGAUUGAUAGGGAUAGUUGGGGGUGCUCGUAUUCAGCGGCCAGAGGUGAAAUUCUUGGAUUCGCUGAAGACGAACUUAUGCGAAAGCAUUCACCAAGGAUGUCUUCUUUAAUCAAGAACGAAAGUUAGGGGAUCGAAGAUGAUCAGAUACCAU
Molecule: ribosomal RNA, 423 nt
Filed under: uncultured eukaryote
Lineage: Eukaryota
Description: bacterial SSU rRNA
Rfam family: Eukaryotic small subunit ribosomal RNA
Source: RNAcentral